Small nucleolar RNA from Drosophila melanogaster (fruit fly), 148 nucleotides. NCBI's taxonomy places the organism in Eukaryota, Metazoa, Arthropoda, Insecta, Diptera, Drosophilidae. The record is from Ensembl.
GCCUGGGAGUGUCGCCAACUGUGAUGACUCCAAUAUACACUAUCCUGCAAUCCGGCGAACUCGAGCAGAUAGGGACAUGAGUGCCCCAGGACUCGGACGGCGGCAAAUGCAAAUUGAAACACAGCUGAAAUGGCAAAAAUGAAUCCGA